CCUACGGGAGGCAGCAGUGGGGGAUAUUGCACAAUGGGGGGAACCCUGAUGCAGCGACGCCGCGUGGGUGCAGGAGUGCUUCGGCAUGUAAAGCCCUAUCGGCAGGGAAGAAGCAAGACGGUACCUGACUAAGAAGCCCCGGCUAACUACGUGCCAGCAGCCGCGGUAAUCCGUAGGGGGCGAGCGUUAUCCGGAUUCACUGGGUGUAAAGGGAGCGUAGACGGCCAAGCAAGCCAGGGGUGAAAGCCCGGGGCCCAACCCCGGGACUGCCCUUGGAACUGCAUGGCUGGAGUGCGGGAGGGGCAGGCGGAAUUCCUGGUGUAGCGGUGAAAUGCGUAGAUAUCAGGAGGAACACCGGCGGCGAAGGCGGCCUGCUGGACCGCGACUGACGUUGAGGCCCGAAGGCGUGGGGAGCAAACAGGAUUAGAUACCCCUGUAGUC
RNAcentral lists this ribosomal RNA (441 nucleotides) under uncultured bacterium. Its description in RNAcentral is "partial 16S ribosomal RNA". It matches the Rfam family "Bacterial small subunit ribosomal RNA", at positions 338 to 795 of the family's 1533-position model. The record is from RNAcentral.